ACGAACGCUGGCGGCGUGCUUAACCCAUGCAAGUCGAACGGAAAGGCCCUGCUUUUGUGGGGUGCUCGAGUGGCGAACGGGUGAGUAACACGUGAGUAACCUGCCCUUGACUUUGGGAUAACUUCAGGAAACUGGGGCUAAUACCGGAUAGGAGCUCCUGCUGCAUGGUGGGGGUUGGAAAGUUUCGGCGGUUGGGGAUGGACUCGCGGCUUAUCAGCUUGUUGGUGGGGUAGCGGCUUACCAAGGCUUUGACGGGUAGCCGGCCUGAGAGGGUGACCGGCCACAUUGGGACUGAGAUACGGCCCAGACUCCUACGGGAGGCAGCAGUGGGGAAUAUUGCACAAUGGGCGGAAGCCUGAUGCAGCAACGCCGCGUGCGGGAUGACGGCCUUCGGGUUGUAAACCGCUUUCGCCUGUGACGAAGCGUGAGUGACGGUAAUGGGUAAAGAAGCACCGGCUAACUACGUG
This 467-nucleotide ribosomal RNA is filed under the name uncultured bacterium. RNAcentral describes it as "partial 16S ribosomal RNA". It matches the Rfam family "Bacterial small subunit ribosomal RNA", at positions 29 to 507 of the family's 1533-position model. The record is from RNAcentral.